Molecule: non-coding RNA, 344 nt
Organism: Pelobates cultripes (western spadefoot toad)
Lineage: Eukaryota; Metazoa; Chordata; Amphibia; Anura; Pelobatidae
Source: the annotation of a GenBank genome assembly
GGGGAGACGAAAGGGCCUAUUAAGAAACCUUGGUCAACUUCCUUCUGGAGGAGUAGGUUUAUAGUGUCUGGAGCUGCUAGGGCUGUCUGCAAGUUUUUACAUUCCAAGAUUCCUGUAGGCAUGUAAAUAAUACCCGUGUGAAACCCCAAAGUAAAUCCUGCCACCAAAAACUCAACGAGAUGUCGCGAUGGGUGCUCACACAAAAGCUUUUCCAGUAGGGAGACAUUAAGAGACGAUAAAUACUGCUUAGGAUAUAAUUUAUUGGGGCACAUUACUUUUGAGUGAGCCCUGAAACAUUGGGAGCAGACGUGAAGCAGUCUGCAGGCACUGUAUCCGCAAGUGCC